UGAGGAAUAUUGGUCAAUGGGCGAGAGCCUGAACCAGCCAAGUAGCGUGCAGGACGACGGCCCUAUGGGUUGUAAACUGCUUUUAUAAGGGAAUAAAGUGAGUCUCGUGAGACUUUUUGCAUGUACCUUAUGAAUAAGGACCGGCUAAUUCCGUGCCAGCAGCCGCGGUAAUACGGAAGGUCCGGGCGUUAUCCGGAUUUAUUGGGUUUAAAGGGUGCGUAGGCGGACCGUUAAGUCAGUGGUAAAAUUGAGAGGCUCAACCUCUUCCGGCCAUUGAAACUGGCGGACUUGAGUGAGCGAGAAGUAUGCGGAAUGCGUGGUGUAGCGGUGAAAUGCAUAGAUAUCACGCAGAACUCCGAUUGCGAAGGCAGCAUACCGGCGCUCAACUGACGCUGAGGCACGAAAGCGUGGGGAUCAAACAGGAUUAGAUACCCUGGUAGU
This 441-nucleotide ribosomal RNA is filed under the name uncultured Prevotella sp. RNAcentral describes it as "bacterial SSU rRNA". It matches the Rfam family "Bacterial small subunit ribosomal RNA", at positions 355 to 794 of the family's 1533-position model. Lineage: Bacteria; Pseudomonadati; Bacteroidota; Bacteroidia; Bacteroidales; Prevotellaceae. The record is from RNAcentral.